This 117-nucleotide transfer-messenger RNA is filed under the name Rhodanobacteraceae bacterium. Its description in RNAcentral is "partial transfer-messenger RNA". It matches the Rfam family "transfer-messenger RNA", at positions 255 to 374 of the family's 374-position model. Rfam says of the family: Bacterial tmRNA, also known as 10Sa RNA or SsrA, is named for its dual tRNA and mRNA-like properties. Lineage: Bacteria; Pseudomonadati; Pseudomonadota; Gammaproteobacteria; Lysobacterales; Rhodanobacteraceae. The record is from RNAcentral.
UGCGCAGCUUUCCCGCCGGUUGGAGCGCGGCGCAACGAGAACGAAGAUCCGGCUAAGCAUGUAGAGCACGAGACGUAGGGCUUGCGGACGGGGGUUCGACUCCCCCCGCCUCCACCA